Molecule: ribosomal RNA, 253 nt
Filed under: uncultured bacterium
Lineage: Bacteria
Description: partial 16S ribosomal RNA
Rfam family: Bacterial small subunit ribosomal RNA
Source: RNAcentral
CCUACGGGAGGCAGCAGUGGGGGAUAUUGCACAAUGGGGGGAACCCUGAUGCAGCGACGCCGCGUGGGUGAAGGAGCGUUUCGGCGCGUAAAGCCCUAUCGGCAGGGAAGAAGGAGGACGGUACCUGACUAAGAAGCCCCGGCUAACUACGUGCCAGCAGCCGCGGUAAUACGUAGGGGGCAAGCGUUAUCCGGAUUUAUUGGGUUUAAAGGGUGCGCAGGCGGCACGGCAAGCCGGCGGUCAAAGUGCGGGG